GGGCCCGCACAAGCAGUGGAGUAUGUGGUUUAAUUCGAAGCAACGCGAAGAACCUUACCAGGGCUUGACAUAUACAGUAAUACAUGGGAAACCAUGUAGCCUAUUCGUAGGACUGUAAACAGGUGGUGCAUGGUUGUCGUCAGCUCGUGUCGUGAGAUGUUGGGUUAAGUCCCGCAACGAGCGCAACCCCUAUUAUUAGUUACCAGCACGUAAAGGUGGGGACUCUAAUGAGACUGCCGGUGAGAAAUCGGAGGAAGGUGGGGACGACGUCAAAUCAUCAUGCCCUAUAUGUCCUGGGCAACACACGUACUACAAUGGUCGUGACAGAAAGAAACGAAACAAGUGAUGUGGAGUAAAACUAAGAAAAGCGACCCCAGUUCAGAUUGAAGGCUGAAACUCGCCUUCAUGAAGACGGAAUUGCUAGUAAUGGCAGGUCAGCAUACUG
RNAcentral lists this ribosomal RNA (445 nucleotides) under uncultured Bacillota bacterium. Its description in RNAcentral is "bacterial SSU rRNA". It matches the Rfam family "Bacterial small subunit ribosomal RNA", at positions 917 to 1359 of the family's 1533-position model. Lineage: Bacteria; Bacillati; Bacillota. The record is from RNAcentral.